RNAcentral lists this ribosomal RNA (253 nucleotides) under uncultured bacterium. RNAcentral's name for it is "partial 16S ribosomal RNA". It matches the Rfam family "Bacterial small subunit ribosomal RNA", at positions 524 to 776 of the family's 1533-position model. The record is from RNAcentral.
UACAGAGGAUGCAAGCGUUAUCCGGAAUGAUUGGGCGUAAAGCGUCUGUAGGUGGCUUUUUAAGUCCGCCGUCAAAUCCCAGGGCUCAACUCUGGGCAGGCGGUGGAAACUACCAAGCUGGAGUACGGUAGGGGCAGAGGGAAUUUCCGGUGGAGCGGUGAAAUGCGCAGAUAUCAGGAGGAACACCGAUGGCGAAGGCAGGUCUCUGGGCAUUAACUGACGCUGAGGAGCGAAAGCAUGGGGAGCGAACAGG